Molecule: ribosomal RNA, 464 nt
Filed under: uncultured bacterium
Lineage: Bacteria
Description: partial 16S ribosomal RNA
Rfam family: Bacterial small subunit ribosomal RNA
Source: RNAcentral
CCUACGGGUGGCUGCAGUAGGGAAUUUUCGUCAAUGGGCGCAAGCCUGAACGAGCAAUGCCGCGUGAACGAGGAAGGUCUUCGGAUCGUAAAGUUCUGUUGAAGGGGAAAAAGAGCGGAGAGAGGAAAUGCUUUCUGAUUGAUAUUACCCUUCGAGGAAGUCACGGCUAACUACGUGCCAGCAGCCGCGGUAAUACGUAGGUGGCGAGCGUUAUCCGGAAUGAUUGGGCGUAAAGGGUGCGUAGGCGGGCUGUUAAGUCAGCGGUCAAAUGUCGGGGCUCAACCCCGGCCUGCCGUUGAAACUGGCGGCCUCGAGUGGGCGAGAAGGAUGCGGAAUGCGUGGUGUAGCGGUGAAAUGCAUAGAUAUCACGCAGAACUCCGAUUGCGAAGGCAGCAUACCGGCGCCCGACUGACGCUGAGGCACGAAAGCGUGGGUAUCGAACAGGAUUAGAUACCCCUGUAGUC